CCUACGGGAGGCAGCAGUGGGGAAUAUUGCACAAUGGGCGCAAGCCUGAUGCAGCGACGCCGCGUGAGGGAUGACGGCCUUCGGGUUGUAAACCUCUUUCAGUAGGGAAGAAGCGAAAGUGACGGUACCUGCAGAAGAAGCGCCGGCUAACUACGUGCCAGCAGCCGCGGUAAUACGUAGGGCGCAAGCGUUAUCCGGAAUUAUUGGGCGUAAAGAGCUCGUAGGCGGUUUGUCGCGUCUGCCGUGAAAGUCCGGGGCUCAACUCCGGAUCUGCGGUGGGUACGGGCAGACUAGAGUGAUGUAGGGGAGACUGGAAUUCCUGGUGUAGCGGUGAAAUGCGCAGAUAUCAGGAGGAACACCGAUGGCGAAGGCAGGUCUCUGGGCAUUAACUGACGCUGAGGAGCGAAAGCAUGGGGAGCGAACAGGAUUAGAUACCCUGGUAGUCCAUGCCGUAAACGUUGGGCACUAGGUGUGGGGGACAUUCCACGUUUUCCGCGCCGUAGCUAACGCAUUAAGUGCCCCGCCUGGGGAGUACGGCCGCAAGGCAAAACUCAAAGGAAUUGACGGCNGAGACGNGCGAGACGACGACGAGGGAGAG
Molecule: ribosomal RNA, 598 nt
Filed under: uncultured bacterium
Lineage: Bacteria
Description: bacterial SSU rRNA
Rfam family: Bacterial small subunit ribosomal RNA
Source: RNAcentral